UACGUAGGGUGCAAGCGUUGUCCGGAAUUAUUGGGCGUAAAGAGCUCGUAGGCGGUCUGUCGCGUCUGCUGUGAAAAUCCAGGGCUCAACCCUGGACCUGCAGUGGGUACGGGCAGACUAGAGUGCGGUAGGGGAGAUCGGAAUUCCUGGUGUAGCGGUGAAAUGCGUAGAUAUCGAGAGGAACACCUGCGGCGAAGGCGGGUUGCUGGGCUGACACUGACGCUGAUGCGCGAAAGCCAGGGGAGCGAACGGG
RNAcentral lists this ribosomal RNA (253 nucleotides) under uncultured bacterium. RNAcentral's name for it is "partial 16S ribosomal RNA". It matches the Rfam family "Bacterial small subunit ribosomal RNA", at positions 524 to 776 of the family's 1533-position model. The record is from RNAcentral.